AGACCCGAAACCCGGUGAUCUAGCCAUGGGCAGGUUGAAGGUUGGGUAACACUAACUGGAGGACCGAACCGACUAAUGUUGAAAAAUUAGCGGAUGACCUGUGGCUGGGGGUGAAAGGCCAAUCAAACCGGGAGAUAGCUGGUUCUCCCCGAAAGCUAUUUAGGUAGCGCCUCGUGAAUUCAUCUCCGGGGGUAGAGCACUGUUUCGGCUAGGGGGUCAUCCCGACUUACCAACCCGAUGCAAACUGCGAAUACCGGAGAAUGUUAUCACGGGAGACACACGGCGGGUGCUAACGUCCGUCGUGAAGAGGGAAACAACCCAGACCGCCAGCUAAGGUCCCAAAGUCAUGGUUAAGUGGGAAACGAUGUGGGAAGGCCCAGACAGCCAGGAUGUUGGCUUAGAAGCAGCCAUCAUUUAAAGAAAGCGUAAUAGCUCACUGGUCGAGUCGGCCUGCGCGGAAGAUGUAACGGGGCUAAACCAUGCACCGAAGCUGCGGCAGCGACACUCAGGUGUUGUUGGGUAGGGGAGCGUUCUGUAAGCCUGCGAAGGUGGCCUGUGAGGGUUGCUGGAGGUAUCAGAAGUGCGAAUGCUGACAUAAGUAACGAUAAAGCGGGUGAAAAGCCCGCUCGCCGGAAGACCAAGGGUUCCUGUCCAACGUUAAUCGGGGCAGGGUGAGUCGACCCCUAAGGCGAGGCCGAAAGGCGUAGUCGAUGGGAAACGGGUUAAUAUUCCCGUACUUGGUGUUACUGCGAAGGGGGGACGGAGAAGGCUAUGUUGGCCGGGCGACGGUUGUCCCGGUUUAAGCGUGUAGGUGUGUGUUCCAGGUAAAUCCGGUUCACUUUAACACUGAGGCGUGAUGACGAGGCACUACGGUGCUGAAGCAACAAAUGCCCUGCUUCCAGGAAAAGCCUCUAAGCAUCAGGUAACAUCAAAUCGUACCCCAAACCGACACAGGUGGUCAGGUAGAGAAUACCAAGGCGCUUGAGAGAACUCGGGUGAAGGAACUAGGCAAAAUGGUGCCGUAACUUCGGGAGAAGGCACGCUGACACGUAGGUGAAGUGAUU
This 1064-nucleotide ribosomal RNA is filed under the name Salmonella enterica. RNAcentral's name for it is "partial 23S ribosomal RNA". It matches the Rfam family "Bacterial large subunit ribosomal RNA", at positions 711 to 1767 of the family's 2925-position model. The record is from RNAcentral. Lineage: Bacteria; Pseudomonadati; Pseudomonadota; Gammaproteobacteria; Enterobacterales; Enterobacteriaceae.